UACGUAGGUGGCAAGCGUUGUCCGGAUUUACUGGGCGUAAAGAGCGCGCAGGCGGUCGUUCAAGUCGCGUGUGAAAGCCCCCGGCUCAACUGGGGAGGGUCACGCGAUACUGAUCGACUCGAAGGCAGGAGAGGGUAGUGGAAUUCCCGGUGUAGUGGUGAAAUGCGUAGAUAUUGGGAGGAACACCGGUGGCGAAGGCGGCUCACUGGACCGGUACUGACGCUGAGACGCGAAAGCCAGGGGAGCAAACGGG
RNAcentral lists this ribosomal RNA (253 nucleotides) under uncultured bacterium. RNAcentral's name for it is "partial 16S ribosomal RNA". It matches the Rfam family "Bacterial small subunit ribosomal RNA", at positions 524 to 776 of the family's 1533-position model. The record is from RNAcentral.